This is a non-coding RNA of Nothobranchius furzeri (turquoise killifish), 6327 nucleotides long. The record is from RefSeq and is a predicted model, not a curated record. Lineage: Eukaryota; Metazoa; Chordata; Actinopteri; Cyprinodontiformes; Nothobranchiidae.
UUCAGUGAGACAGAAUCAGGGUCUCUCCUCCUUCUGAGGCUUGUAGAGAAAGAACGGUAACACUUACAGAUAAAAUGAAACCAUUCUGAAAAGCUGACAAAAAUUCCUACUUUUUGAGAUAUAAUUUGUUUCGGUACUCCAAACGGUCUGGGUGUUGGAAAGAGUUGUUUCCAGAAAAUGUGAAGGUCAAAAGUUAGAGUGCGGAAUUUUCAGUUUAGAGUGGUGAGAGACAUUUUUUUAAAUUCAAAUAUUCUCAAACAAAUGAACCGUACAACCACAUUGUUUGGAGUUUAUAGCUCAAAACGAAGGCAUAUCCGUUAGCUGCAAGCCAGCAUGCGUCUCAUUUCAAUCAGACUUACGGUUUUCUCAGGACAAUGCCAGAAAUGGAGCAAAGGAGGGUCAUUGCUCCUAUCUCUGCCCAUUAUAAUUUUGAGAUUUUUUCUGAAAAUUUCAAGCCGUAUCUCAACUUCUACCUGUGACUUUAGAAAAAUUGUAAUAGAUAUGUAAAAGAUUUUUUAACCAGUAAUAGCUGAAAGUCUUGUGAGUUUGUUGAAACUUGAAUGAAGUCUCUAGGUUAAAGUUAACCUAAAAGAGUAAGAGUUCAAAAAAGUGAUAGGAUUCAGCUGAAAAUUGAGCAAUCCCAUUCAUUUCAACGGGACCAAAAAUUGCCGAAAAAGCUGAAUAUCUCAAAAAGUAUAAAAUAUUUUAAUACCAAAAGUCAUUGCCGGCAUAAGCUGAAUGAGCUGAACGUUUUGAUGCCAAAAUUGUGUAAAUAGUUGAAGAAUUGUGGAAGUAGUUAAAUGCCAAAUAAUGUACGGAAGCAGAAUAAUAAUAAACUGACUAAUAACUAACUAUCUAUAAAGAGAAACAGGAUCACUAUAGUUUGAAUGCUUUACAGCAUUCAGACAAUAAAGAGAAGCAGGAAAACAAUAGUUUAUUCAAACAAUAAACCGACUAACUAUAAUAAAGAGAAACAGGAUCACUAUAUCUUAGGUGUUUUCUUGCUGUCGUAUCUUUAAUUCCAUUCUGUAGUUCUUUUUUUUAAAACACAGAGCAGUUUUGUUUACCGGUUUUCCCGCUACGUUUCGCUUGCGGCUGCAAACUUUAAAUGCUUUACAGCAUUCAAACAAUAAGGAACAUUCUGGAACUGUUUCUUCAUUUUCUUUCUUUUUUAAUUGAUCGAAAGUAUCGGACCGGGACUCGGUAUCGGCAGAUUCUCAAAAUCAAACGACUCGGACUCGAGGACAAAAAACCUGAUCGGGACAUACCUAGUUCAUCAUGUAACAAACCGCAUCUCAGGUCAGCUGCGUUAACGCACUUUUACACAGAUAGUCGUCCAGAAUAUUUAACUGAGGAUGUUUUUCUACUCAAAGUCAGUCUUCUUAAACUCAAACCAGGUGUGUAUAACCGAUGUUACCCUGUCUUCUUUACGAGCACGUCUCCGUCCACCUGCUGCAGAAACAGCUGCUGUGUUCACAGAAACGGGGAUCUGUGCUGCAAACUCCACAAUGAAUCUGCGUAUAUUUCAUACAGACUUGAACAAGUUUGUCGAAUGAUUUGUGCAAUAAUCAGAUUUUUAUUUUACUUCCAAAAAAUGAAAGUUCUGGAUUAGAUAUUACUGAAACGGGUACAGCUUGCCAUCAAAUGUAAAAGCCGGCGCUUGCUAAUUAGGCCAUCAUUUAUUUAGAUCAGGCAGUCCAAAUGACAGUGGGGAGACUCGCUAGCUGUUGCACACAUGCACAGUGGGCAUUGUUUUACUCCAACAAUCCGAAUGGCUGUUUACAUGCACGUCAGUAGGAGUGAUGAUCGGACAAAACCACCUCUCUCAAUCAGAUUGAAAUUACACUCUUGUCUGCUGAAUUGGAUCAGAAUGUUAUGAUUGACAUGUUUACAAGCAGAAAUUUUUAUUUGAUUGGGCUUUCAAUCAGAUUAAUUGUGCACAUGUAAAUGUGGCUAUUGAUCAGAUCUAGUGAAAGAUUUGAGCUUUAGUUAACGUUGGGUUCUGAGCGUCCUCUAUUCCCAAGUUACACAUAAGCAUGAACACAAAUUAAGAAACAAAAACAAUAAAACACACAUUCACUCUUUUCUCAAGACCAAAACAAUCUUAUGAUCAAAGUAAAGCUUUAACAGGCAUCAGACUUGGUUGCAUUCGAUGAGUCAGCGCUUAUGAAGAUAAAAGAAGGGAGGCCUCCUUCGUUUUAACAGAAAUCCAGCAAAGAGAUUUUAAAACUUCUAAUUAAUAAUAAAGGUGUGAAAUUUGAUUCACCUCCUGACUGGCUGGACAUUAUAUGUAACAUAAUGUAACUGGUUACUUUUAAAAAAUAAUAAGAUGUGGAAUUCCAUAUAAAUAUGAAUUAUAUUAUUUUGGUAGUUGAUUUAAAAUUAAACCAGGUCUCUUGGUAGUCCGUGGAAAUCACACCUUCAUAAUAAUUUGAGACAGAAGCUCUAAUGCUACUAAUACCAUAUUAAUUCUAUAUUUAUACUGCUAAUGAUAACACAGGAAAAAAGAUAUGAAUGAUGGUCGAAACAAGAUAGUGAAACAAUGAAUAAAAUGCUAGAAUGUAAGCUGUAAGAUGACAUGUAGCAAAACCUAAUUAAGUGCCUUAGAAAAUUGUGAUGUUGAGCUGGCUCGGGCAUCUAGUUAGGAUGCCUCCUGGAUAGGUUUAAUGGAAGGUCUAAAGGAAGACCCAGGACACUUGCUGGAGGGACCGUUUCUCGGCUGGUCAGGGAAUGCCUUGAGAUUCGCCAAGAACAGCUGGCCAAAGCGGCUCAGGAGAGGGAAGUCAGCGCUGGAUAAUUGGCUAACAAUGGAUGGAUAUUUAUUGAUCGUCUACUUGAAGGUGUUUGCCUUGGAGAGUAAUGUGGAUGAGACCAUGUGCUCUCUGAAGAUUGCUCAGGUUUGUAAGGUUCAGUCCCGCCUCCAGGAAGAUAGAAUCUGACAUUGGGCAGUGAGACCAACCAAACUUUAAAGGAAGUUGAAUCCUCGUUGAGAGGAGCCAGUUGAGGUGACUCGGGCAUCUGAUCAGGAUGCCACCUGGACACCUCCCUGGUGAGGUUUUCCAAGCACAUCUAACUGGGAGGAGACCCAAGGGAAGAUCCAGGACAUGUUGGAGGGACUAUUGGGCCAUUCCCAUCUGUACUGGGUCGGCCCGGGCCGGGUAGCGUAGGUUGUUUACAUAUCUGGGUGGCCUGGUAUUUUUCCAGGCCAACCAAGGCUCAUUCUCAGCCCUCUUCUCGAGGGGGUCCGCUUCAGGCCGACCAGGGCCAACACACCCACUGCUGACAGCAAAUUCACACCUUCCAUUAGAGCAAGCCUCUGAUUGGUGGGUAGAAUCAGCCCACAUGGGCUUAAGGCAAGGAUGUGUGGAAUCAACUGGGCCAGGCUGGGGCCGACUGGGGCUACCCGGCCCGGGCCGACCCGGUACAGAUGGGAAUGGCCCAUAUGUCUCUUGGCUGGCCAGGAACCGCCUUAGAAUUCCCCUGGAGGAGCUGGCCCACGUAGCUUGGCAGGGGGUGUCUGGGCCUCUCGGCUUAGGCUGCUGCCCCUACGACCAGUCUCCAGAUAAGCAGUUGAAAAUGGAUGGAUGGCUGAAUCCUCUCCAACCCACCAGCCAAUCCUACUGCUAAAGAAUCAGCUGGAAUCCUGGACAAAGGGCAAAAUCUGGAGGUAUUGCGUUUCAGGUCAAAUUCAGGUCCUCUUUGCUGUGUUAACCCUUCAUUAACAGAUAAUCCGCAUGAUAGUGUUUAUUUUUCCAUUUAUUUUGAACCUUAAUGCUUCUUUGAAACACUGUUGGUUUAUUUGACUUAAUCUGGAACAUGUCAUGUGUUCCUGGAUCCUCACAGCAUUUACAACUGCUUCUACAUCAACAGUCACAAACUCAGCACUUAAGUGCAGUGCAGUAUUACUGGUUUGCUUUUAAUUGUGUGCUCCAGUGUAAUAUAAACAUCAGACCAGGAAUAACUAAGUUCAUGCAGAUUUUGUGACUUUUAUUAAAGCUAAGUGCUUCAGCUUUCAGAGCAGGUGGCCUAACAAGUGCUGGUCAUGAAAUUAGAAUAUCAUGAAAAAGUUUAUUUAUUUCAGUAAUUCCAUUCAAAAAGUGAAACUUGUAUAUUAGAUUCAUUAAUUACACACAGACUGCUAUAUUUCAAAUGUUCAUUUUAAUUUUGAUGAUUAUAACGAAAAUCCCUACAUUACUACCUCUGAAUAUUAAAAUAUUGUGAAAAGUUUAAAUAUUGAAGACCCCUUGUGCCGCACUCUAACCAGCUAAUUUACUCAAAACACCUGCAAAAGUCUUUAAAGAGCAAGUAACGUCUAAAUUAACUUUUUUUUGCUGAUGAACUGUAUAAAUGAGUGUCUAAUAGUGUUUUAAAUGUGUGUAUUCAUUAUUUUAGCAUUUUGGUGCAUUUUCUUUAAAAAUUAAAAAUUCUGCCUAAAUACCACAGUAUAGCUCCACCUUCAGCUUAAAACAUAGAAUUUGACUCAUUUUGAAUAAAUUUUUGCCAAUGGCUAAAGAGUAAGAUACUACGUAAACCAGUAGAGUACUACGUAGCAGCUCUGUGUCAAAGUUAUAAAAGCAUCGGGAGUCUCGGCCACGCCUUGUGGCGAGUUGGGAGUUGGAUUUGCAUGCGAGUGUAGGAGGCUAGCUGUAGUUCAGCAUUAGCAUAUAGCAUUAGCAUAUCCUAGUCUUUAGCAUAGCUUUUAGUGUUAUACAUACUUAUUUAGUGUUAGCUUGGCUGUUGGAUAUUGUAGUUUAGUUACUGUUUGGCUGUUAGUGUAAUUAGGAAAGUAGUUCGGGUUUAGUGCUCCAUAUCGUGUUAGCAUGGUGAGAUGGUGUAGUGUAGUAUGGUUGCGGAGCUCUGUCGGGUUGCACUCCUUUCCGCUGGACUUAGAAAUUAGGCGCCAGUGAUUGCGUGUCUGGAAAAGAUUCAGCUCCCGCCUAGUGCUGUAGUUUGCAACCAGCAUUUUACCCGCGAUUCUGCACGUCUCCGUUCCAAGAGGGAGGCUGUGCCCACCGUGGCUCUUCCGCGAUUUAGAUGCAGCCCACCGACUCUGCUCCCCCACCAUGGCGGGCUCCAGUCUGAGGUGAGUCAGCUAAAUAAAAGUUUUAACAUCUUCUAAAGACAAUUCCAUUCCUAAAUGCAAAGUUUGAGAGACGUGGUUCACUCCAUUUAGCUAAUAUCAGCCAUCGGGCUGAUUUGUCAAGUUCACAAAAUGUGGAACGGGAUGUAAGGUUAGAAUCAGCGGCGAAUCGGAACAUAGCUCGAAGCCCUGGCCGACAAAACGGUCCACAUGUCUGUCAGGCUCAGAGAAAAUUCGAGUUGUUUUUGUGUCAGUCGGUAAUUCUGCAACAGUGGCUCUAACUAAUGCAGCACUAGUUGACAGACAUCAUUACAGCGUGAAAUCCAGCACAGCGUGACCCGGUUCCGUGAGGAAUUCUGUUCAGGAGGUCGCAUUUCAGGAUCUCCACAUCAUAUGUGACUGACUUGUACGUUAUAAUAACAUCACACACUAGGAAUGUUAUAAAGCGCCUAUAUGGGACAGUUUCUUUUGUAUUUUAUCUGACUUUAUAAACAUCAAUGUGCUUCUAUUUUUUUUUUCAGGCUAAAUCUACCCAAGACACUGGCUGUCAGACUGAUUUAGUAAUCUGCAAGAAUGCACUUGUCCAGGCUGACGUGGUGUUACCCGUAGCAAAGAGCUCACAGCCUCAGUGUCUUGUGACACAGGGACCAUGACAGAAAUUCAUCUUCCAGAAGGUCCCAGAGCAUCCACACCUCCUGAAAAGACCACGAUGUGAGGUGUCUGCUGUUGAUUCCAGCUUCCACCUCAGUGACAGUGCAAGCUCAGUGAACUGUUCAAGGAGGCUACUGAUUCUGGCCCUGUGACACUUGGUGGUGACGUGUGAGCUGAUUCACCUGGACACUCAGCAAAAUAUGGACUCUACACCAUGAGGCAGGCACACGUUAAUAACUCUAAGAGCACAUAAGGUGAGCAACACCACAUAUUAUUUUUAUUACUGUACACUGUCCUGGAUUUGUUUUCUUUCUGCAUCUCAUCAUUAGCCUGGCUGAUCACCUGAUAACUCCUGUCAUCUGGUUAUGACAGCAUGAGGAUGUCCUCACACACCUGUCAUCUGGUUAUGACAGCAUAAGGAUGUCUUCACACACCUGUAACCUAUCAGCUCAUCUGGCAGAAUAGAGAAGAGACAACACCACAUCUCCUGUUCCUGGAAAGCCUUCAGCCAUCCUUCGAUGACUGAGAACCCCCAUCAGCUCUGUCUCCUGUCUGCCUACAAUUAUUAUAAUAAAUAUUGUGUUUGACAAGUUUUU